This 155-nucleotide unclassified non-coding RNA is filed under the name uncultured Ascomycota. RNAcentral describes it as "sequence contains ITS2". Lineage: Eukaryota; Fungi; Ascomycota. The record is from RNAcentral.
CAACCCUCAAGCAUAGCUUGGUGUUGGGUGAGGUCCUAGAAGGGACCCUCCCGUAACCCGUAGGCGGUCAUCAUCCAUAACCCCCUAGCGUAGCAGGCUCAUGGCAUUCGUUAGAGGAUAGGUUGAUACCAUGCCUUUACAAACCAUUUCAAAAG